RNAcentral lists this unclassified non-coding RNA (143 nucleotides) under soil metagenome. RNAcentral's name for it is "partial internal transcribed spacer 1". The record is from RNAcentral.
GCGCGUAGUAUAACUCUCUAAAAACCAUUGUGAAAACGAACGAACCCGUUGCUUCCGGCGGGACAGCCCUUCUGCUGCCGCCGGGUAAAGAACGCAAACUCUUGUUAUUAUUGUUUCUCUGAGUACUUAUUCAAUUAAGUAAA